Molecule: ribosomal RNA, 440 nt
Filed under: uncultured bacterium
Lineage: Bacteria
Description: partial 16S ribosomal RNA
Rfam family: Bacterial small subunit ribosomal RNA
Source: RNAcentral
CCUACGGGAGGCAGCAGUGGGGAAUAUUGCACAAUGGGGGAAACCCUGAUGUAGCGACGCCGCGUGAGUGAAGAAGUAAUUCGUUAUGUAAAGCUCUAUCUGCAGGGAAGAAAAUGACGGUACCUGUGUAAGAAGCCCCGGCUAACUACGUGCCAGCAGCCGCGGUAAUACGUAGGGGGCAAGCGUUAUCCGGAUUUACUGGGGGUAAAGGGAGCGUAGACGGCAGUGCAAGUCUGGAGUGAAAGGCGGGGGCUCAACCCCCGGACUGCUCUGGAAACUGUACGGCUGGAGUGCAGGAGAGGUAAGUGGAAUUCCUAGUGUAGCGGUGAAAUGCGUAGAUAUUAGGAGGAACACCAGUGGCGAAGGCGGCUUACUGGACUGUAACUGACGUUGAGGCUCGAAAGCGUGGGGAGCAAACAGGAUUAGAUAUCCUUGUAGUC